AACAGGAUUAGAUACCCUGGUAGUCCACGCUGUAAACGAUGUCGAUUUGGAGGUUGUGCCCUUGAGGCGUGGCUUCCGGAGCUAACGCGUUAAAUCGACCGCCUGGGGAGUACGGCCGCAAGGUUAAAACUCAAAUGAAUUGACGGGGGCCCGCACAAGCGGUGGAGCAUGUGGUUUAAUUCGAUGCAACGCGAAGAACCUUACCUACUCUUGACAUCCAGAGAACUUAGCAGAGAUGCUUUGGUGCCUUCGGGAACUCUGAGACAGGUGCUGCAUGGCUGUCGUCAGCUCGUGUUGUGAAAUGUUGGGUUAAGUCCCGCAACGAGCGCAACCCUUAUCCUUUGUUGCCAGCGGUUCGGCCGGGAACUCAAAGGAGACUGCCAGUGAUAAACUGGAGGAAGGUGGGGAUGACGUCAAGUCAUCAUGGCCCUUACGAGUAGGGCUACACACGUGCUACAAUGGCGUAUACAAAGAGAAGCGACCUCGCGAGAGCAAGCGGACCUCAUAAAGUACGUCGUAGUCCGGAUUGGAGUCUGCAACUCGACUCCAUGAAGUCGGAAUCGCUAGUAAUCGUAGAUCAGAAUGCUACGGUGAAUACGUUCCCGGGCCUUGUACACACCGCCCGUCACACCAUGGGAGUGGGUUGCAAAAGAAGUAGGUAGCUUAACCUUCGGGAGGGCGCUUACCACUUUGUGACUCAUGACUGGGGUGAAGUCGUAACAAGGUAACC
Molecule: ribosomal RNA, 730 nt
Filed under: uncultured bacterium
Lineage: Bacteria
Description: bacterial SSU rRNA
Rfam family: Bacterial small subunit ribosomal RNA
Source: RNAcentral